This 480-nucleotide ribosomal RNA is filed under the name uncultured bacterium. Its description in RNAcentral is "bacterial SSU rRNA". It matches the Rfam family "Bacterial small subunit ribosomal RNA", at positions 903 to 1397 of the family's 1533-position model. The record is from RNAcentral.
AAAUGAAUUGACGGGGACCCACACAAGCGGUGGAGCAUGGGGUUUAAUUCGAUAGUAAGCGAAGAACCUUACCUAGGCUUGACAUCCCGAGAACCCGCCAGAAACGGUGGGGUGCCGCAAGGAACUCGGAGACAGGCGCUGCACGGUUGUCGUCAGCUCGUGCCUUGAGGUGUACUGUUAAGUCAGCGAACGAGCGCAACCCUCAUCCUAUGUUGAUUUUUCAUGGGAGACUGCCGCCUCCAAGGCGGAGGAAGGUGGGGACGACGUCAAAUCAGCGUGGCCCUUAUGCCUAGGGCGACACCCGUGCUACAAUGGCCGAUACAGAGGGCAGCGAAGCCGUAAGGCGGAGCUAAUCCCACAAAGUCGGUCUCAGUCCGGAUUGUAGUCUGCAACUCGACUGCAUGAAGUUGGAAUCGCUAGUAACCGUGAAUCAGCCACGUCACGGUGAAUAUGUUCCUGGGUCUUGUACACACCGCCCGU